Molecule: ribosomal RNA, 383 nt
Filed under: uncultured eukaryote
Lineage: Eukaryota
Description: partial 18S ribosomal RNA
Rfam family: Eukaryotic small subunit ribosomal RNA
Source: RNAcentral
CAAUAGCGUAUAUUAAAGUUGUUGCAGUUAAAAAGCUCGUAGUUGGAUUUCUGGUAGGAGUGACCGUUCCGAACUUGAUUGUUCGUGUAUUGUGUUUUCUCCAGCCAUCCUUGUGGAGAACUUUUCUUGCAUUAAUUUGUAGGGAUUGGGACCCGCAUCGUUUACUGUGAAAAAAUUAGAGUGUUUAAAGCAGGCAAUCGCUUGAAUACAUUAGCAUGGAAUAAUAAGAUAGGACUUUGGUACUAUUUUGUUGGUUUGCAUACCAAAUUAAUGAUCAACAGGAGCAGUUUGAGGAUAUUCGUAUGAACAUGUCAGAGGUGAAAUUCUUGGAUUUUGAUCAGACGAACUACUGCGAAAGCAUUUAUCAAGGAUGUUUUCAUUAA